CGCGUAGGCGGGGAUACAAGUCAGAUGUGAAAUCUAUGGGCUUAACCCAUAAACUGCAUUUGAAACUGUAUCUCUUGAGUGUCGGAGAGGUAGACGGAAUUCCUAGUGUAGCGGUGAAAUGCGUAGAUAUCGGGAGGAACACCGGAUGGCGAAGGCGGCUUCCUGGCACACAACUGACGCUCAUGUGCGAAAGCCAGGGCAGCGAACG
This 208-nucleotide ribosomal RNA is filed under the name uncultured bacterium. RNAcentral's name for it is "partial 16S ribosomal RNA". It matches the Rfam family "Bacterial small subunit ribosomal RNA", at positions 568 to 774 of the family's 1533-position model. The record is from RNAcentral.